UGAGACACGGCCCAGACUCCUACGGGAGGCAGCAGUAGGGAAUCUUCCGCAAUGGACGAAAGUCUGAAGGAGCAACGCCGCGUGAGUGAUGAAGGCUUUCGGGUCGUAAAACUCUGUUGUUAGGGAAGAACAAGUGCUAGUUGAAUAAGCUGGCACCUUGACGGUACCUAACCAGAAAGCCACGGCUAACUACGUGCCAGCAGCCGCGGUAAUACGUAGGUGGCAAGCGUUAUCCGGAAUUAUUGGGCGUAAAGCGCGCGCAGGUGGUUUCUUAAGUCUGAUGUGAAAGCCCACGGCUCAACCGUGGAGGGUCAUUGGAAACUGGGAGACUUGAGUGCAGUAGAGGAAAGUGGAAUUCCAUGUGUAGCGGUGAAAUGCGUAGAGAUAUGGAGGAACACCAGUGGCGAAGGCGACUUUCUGGUCUGUAACUGACACUGAGGCGCGAAAGCGUGGGGAGCAAACAGGAUUAGAUACCUUGGUAGUCCACGCCGUAAACGAUGAGUGCUAAGUGUUAGAGGGUUUCCGCCC
Molecule: ribosomal RNA, 528 nt
Filed under: Bacillus cereus
Lineage: Bacteria; Bacillati; Bacillota; Bacilli; Caryophanales; Bacillaceae
Description: bacterial SSU rRNA
Rfam family: Bacterial small subunit ribosomal RNA
Source: RNAcentral